AUGGAGAAGCUGGUCUCCUCAGCCCCGUCCCACGAGCUGCUUGUCCCGCCGCCGGCCGUCUCUCUUCCCAUCAUCGACCUCUCCCUCGGCCGCGACGAGGUCCGCCGUGCCGUCCUUGACGCUGGCAAGGAGCUUGGUUUCUUCCAGGUGGUCAACCACGGCGUCCCUGAGCAUGCGAUGUGGGAUAUGGAGGCGGUGUGCGAGGAGUUCUUCCGCCUGCCGGCGCCGGAUGUGGCACCCUUCUACUCAGACGACAGAUGCAAGCCCAACCGGCUCUUCUCCGGCAGCACCUUUGAGACCGGCGGCGACAAGUACUGGACGGACUGCCUCCGCCUCACCUGCACCUUCCCCGUGGGAGACAGCAAGAAUCACUGGCCCGACAAACCCCAAGGACUCCGGGAGGUUGUCGAGAAGUUGAUCGUGCUCACAAGAGGCAUGGGAAUGGGUUGGGGCUCCGCCACAACUACUUCGAGGGGCCCCUCGGUGGUAGUGAAACCAUCAUUGGCCUUAACCACUACCCGUCAUGCUCAAACCUGGAUCCGGGACUCGGCCUUGGGCUGCCGCCACACUGUGACAGGAACCUCAUCACGCUCCUCCUACCCGGUGCUGUCCCUGGCUUGCAGGUCUCAUACAAGGGCGAUCGGAUUACCGUUGAGCCCGUGCCAAAUGCCUUUGUCGUCAACUUCGGCUUGCAACUUGAGUUAA
This 705-nucleotide ribosomal RNA is filed under the name Triticum aestivum (bread wheat). Its description in RNAcentral is "partial small subunit ribosomal RNA". The record is from RNAcentral. Lineage: Eukaryota; Viridiplantae; Streptophyta; Magnoliopsida; Poales; Poaceae.